This 20-nucleotide unclassified non-coding RNA is filed under the name Chlamydomonas reinhardtii. RNAcentral describes it as "small RNA Cre_0185". Lineage: Eukaryota; Viridiplantae; Chlorophyta; Chlorophyceae; Chlamydomonadales; Chlamydomonadaceae. The record is from RNAcentral.
ACAAAAGACUGCGAGCCAUC